CCAUUACUUUAGGGGUGUCUUCCGAAUAAACCGGAAGGCUGAGAAUUACCCUUUGAACCUGAACAGGAUCAUGCAUGCGGAGGGAAAAGUUGCCAAGUAUUU
This 102-nucleotide non-coding RNA is filed under the name Solitalea canadensis. RNAcentral's name for it is "TPP sequence". It matches the Rfam family "TPP riboswitch aptamer (THI element)". From Rfam's summary of the family: Vitamin B(1) in its active form thiamin pyrophosphate (TPP) is an essential coenzyme that is synthesised by coupling of pyrimidine and thiazole moieties in bacteria. Lineage: Bacteria; Pseudomonadati; Bacteroidota; Sphingobacteriia; Sphingobacteriales; Sphingobacteriaceae. RNAcentral also lists the same sequence under 1 other name. The record is from RNAcentral.